RNAcentral lists this long non-coding RNA (1394 nucleotides) under Gallus gallus (chicken). RNAcentral describes it as "lncRNA (ENSGALG00010003380.1)". The record is from RNAcentral. Lineage: Eukaryota; Metazoa; Chordata; Aves; Galliformes; Phasianidae.
AAUCUCUUCCUUGAGAUCAGUCUUUGUGGGGUUUUUGUGAGCCUACAACACUGCAUCUUCUGUUCCUCACUUGUCUGCCCAUCCCCUCCGCGGGCUCUGAGCUUCAGAAAUAUGCCCUAGGAGCGGGAAAAGCGUGUAAGACAUGCAGUAGGCCGUUCUGCGUCAUAAGAACAAGCUCUCAAAUUCAAUCUUGUGGGGAAGAUUUUCACAGAAGAGGUAAAUAUUUGGGUGUUCUUCCUAAGAUAGAAGCAUAAAAUUCUGGAAUGCCUUCUUGCCUUCUGGCACCUGGCUGCUGGAUGUUGAACCAUAAAAGAAGUUCCCUGAUUCAAGCCCUGGGAAGAUGUUUUCCAUGUACAUUGUAAAACCAUGCCCAUAAGUCAUUCUUCUAGGCCUGCUGAGUGCAUGCAAUAGCUGGAAGAUUGUUGGAAUACACUUGAGCACUGAAAUCUAUACAUGACUUAUAACACAACAUUCUGCUACUACUGGUUUACUCCUUCCAUACCAAAGUGUUGGGAGAAAUGUGUGGCAGAUGUAUUUCAUGGAGGAUGCUGCUGUUCUCAGCAGGAUGCCCGUUCAGCCUGCACUUCCAUCUUGCUGCUAGGGAGCACUUUGAGGAAUUGACCAUUAUCAAGGGAGAGGAAAGCCUGGAUGUGAAGACGAAAGGCUUAAGCUUCAUAGUUUACGAACCCAGUGCACAUAGGAGUGCCAAUUUUGGAGCAGGCUUGUGCUGGGAUGGUAGGACCUUGUAGCUCUACGGGAAAGGGGAGUUCUGUGAUGCAGUAAAACCCCCAGAAAUUGAGCUGCAUUCCCAGUGUGCUGUAGGCCAUAAUACAGGUGUUGCUGGUGUUGUUAAUAUAUGCACAAUAUAAUGAAUAUUAUUACUAUUGUUAAACACUUUCAUUGUAGUUAAUGUAGGUACAAGUAAAAGCCUACUGAAAAAUAAGAGUUAAGUAGAGUAAUGACAAGAACAGGCAUUACACAGUCACUGUAUCUCAACAAAGCCCAACGUUGUGGAAUUCUACCCAUCCCACAAGAAAAUAAUCGUAAUGUCAGCCAGCAAGUGCAGUUGUGUGGUUGUUACAUUACAUAUUGCUCUAUGCUUAUAUGCUAAUCACAGAAUGACUAAGUACAGAUAUUACUCAGAAAAAAAGUGUUAAAAUUUGACAAAAAAAAAUAUAAGCGGUGCUUUGUUGUAGUCUCCCCAUAGGUCCUUUAGAUCAGAUUUAACUUUUUAACUCCUGGAGAUGUGUGAACAUAAGUGUUGCUGAAAGGUCUGUAUGAUUUGUCUGAAAAUGGAAUUGUUGCUCUUUUCUCUGUUAAGCGGUCCUGGAUCACACUGUUGUCAAGUAACAAUGCAGUCUGUAGCAUGAAUAUUAAGGUUGGAUUCUUAAAAU